AAACAUCAAAAAAAAAUUGUUAAUUCAGUGACGCAACAAACGUUAAGUAAACUGAAGGAGGGAAUAUUGUCUUUAAAAGUCUGAUAUAAAUUUGUACGUGAUAAUAUUGGAUAAGACAAACUUCUACAAAAUAAACAAUGAUGGUAGGUUUUCGAUUCUGGUGUGUAGGAAUUGUACUGCUGAUCAUGAACGUAUCUGCCAUACCAGUAUAUGAUUUUCGAAGACCGAGUUAUUAUGAUACUUCUGAGAAAUUCCUUCCGCAAAAAAGACCAUAUAGUACAUUCUUCCGGAUCGGUAAAUCUCAAGCGAAGCAUUCGCCGAGUAUGGACGAUGUUUUUAUCAAUAAAAUGGGGGAUGUAUUGCAUAGACAAGAUUAUAUUCCCGAUUUAAUUGACGAGGAACAAAAGGUCGGUUUUAAUGCGGACAGAUUUAUUACUGGUGGUAUGGAGGAAUCUCUCUUGGACAACAAUUCUGAUGAGCUGUCCAGUCCAUCCAAAAGAGGGAUGUUUCGAUUCGGAAAAAUGCCUUAUUUCAUGAGAAAUGGACGAACCUUUUUACAGACUUAUUACGACAAACCAGAUUCAGUUUCUACAAAAUCUCAAUUCUGGAGAAUUGGUUAAAAGUUGUUUUAAUGGUUCUAACAUGCAAAUUAUAUUUAAAAGUAAGCGUUCAUAGCACAUCAGUAAAACUUUUCACAUAUUCGUAUGGAAUAAAUUUUGUCUGACUUUA
Molecule: long non-coding RNA, 729 nt
Organism: Saccostrea echinata
Lineage: Eukaryota; Metazoa; Mollusca; Bivalvia; Ostreida; Ostreidae
Exons: 2
Source: RefSeq, a predicted model, not a curated record